GUUGGGGAGAAUGGAGUAGCUUUUUUAUUAACGACGAACGGAAAAGAUGGUAAUUUAACAGAACGGAAAACCGUAAGUACAGAACGGAGAACCGAAAGUACAAGUCGGAAAACCAGAAAAUACAGAACGGAAAACGAGAAAGUAAGAGACAACAAAGCUAGGCAAUUAU
This 169-nucleotide small RNA is filed under the name Arabidopsis thaliana (thale cress). Its description in RNAcentral is "ATSL161320". The record is from RNAcentral. Lineage: Eukaryota; Viridiplantae; Streptophyta; Magnoliopsida; Brassicales; Brassicaceae.